RNAcentral lists this ribosomal RNA (465 nucleotides) under uncultured bacterium. RNAcentral's name for it is "bacterial SSU rRNA". It matches the Rfam family "Bacterial small subunit ribosomal RNA", at positions 39 to 497 of the family's 1533-position model. The record is from RNAcentral.
GCGGCAGGCCUAAUACAUGCAAGUCGAGCGGAAACGAUGGGAGCUUGCUCUCAGGCGUCGAGCGGCGGACGGGUGAGUAACGCGUAGGAAUCUACCCAGUAGCGGGGGAUAGCCCGAGGAAACUCGGAUUAUACCGCAUACGCCCCACGGGGGAAAGGCCGGGAUCUUCGGACCGGUCACUAUUGGAGGAGCCUGCGUAGGAUUAGCUUGUUGGUGAGGUAAAGGCUCACCAAGGCUACGAUCCUUAGCUGGUCUGAGGGGACCAUCAGCCACACUGGAACUGAGACACGGUCCAGACUCCUACGGGAGGCAGCAGUAGGGAAUAUUGUGCAAUGGGCGAAAGCCUGACACAGCCAUGCCGCGUGUGUGAAGAAGGCCCUAGGGUUGUAAAGCACUUUCAGUAGGGAGGAAUUAGUAGGGUUAAUAGCUCUGCGAAAUGACGUUACCUACAGAAGAAGCACCGGC